RNAcentral lists this ribosomal RNA (501 nucleotides) under uncultured bacterium. Its description in RNAcentral is "partial 16S ribosomal RNA". It matches the Rfam family "Bacterial small subunit ribosomal RNA", at positions 29 to 523 of the family's 1533-position model. The record is from RNAcentral.
AUUGAACGCUGGCGGCAUGCCUUACACAUGCAAGUCGAACGGCAGCACGGGUGCUUGCACCUGGUGGCGAGUGGCGAACGGGUGAGUAAUACAUCGGAACGUACCUUAUCGUGGGGGAUAACGCAGCGAAAGCUGUGCUAAUACCGCAUACGCCCUGAGGGGGAAAGCGGGGGAUCGAAAGACCUCGCGCGAUUAGAGCGGCCGAUGCCUGAUUAGCUUGUUGGUGGGGUAAAAGCCCACCAAGGCGACGAUCAGUAGCUGGUCUGAGAGGACGGUCAGCCACCCUGGGACUGAGACACGGCCCAGACUCCUACGGGAGGCAGCAGUGGGGAAUUUUGGACAAUGGGGGCAACCCUGAUCCAGCAAUGCCGCGUGAGUGAAGAAGGCCUUCGGGUUGUAAAGCUCUUUUGUCAGGGAAGAAACACCGGCUCUAACACAGUCCGGGAAUGACGGUACCUGAAGAAUAAGCACCGGCUAACUACGUGCCAGCAGCCGCGGUAA